CACUUUUAAAUAUAAAUCAAAGAAAUAAGUUGCCUUAUAGCUCAGGCCACAGCCUUUUUGAAACUGAAUAUGGAGCUCACUUGUUAGUGGAAUUGUGCGAGUAUGCUGGCGAGCUCAACCCGCGGAUGUGUUUGGAAUUUUUGCUGUAGUUCCCCGGCAAUAUGUUGAGCCCGGCAACUCACUUUGCAGCAGGACUCGGGCCAAAGACACCAAAAAAAGCAAAAGGAUAUACAAAAAAACUGGCGACAGGACAACCCGCAGAUGAAACGCAUUUCGAGCUGCAUAUUGUUUUGUAAUUUCCACCAUGAUUUAUGACGCUCUUUGGGGUAACAAACCACUUUAAAACUUUAAAAUCGGUCUGUAAUAUAUAGUCAUCCAUCUGGAUGGGUAUGUGUGUCAGUGUUAGGAGGGAAACAAUGGAAAACAAAGCCUCAUUAUGGGCAACAACAAUUGCCAAAUCACUUGAUACGUAAUGCUGGCCAUAAAUAAAUCACACUGCAGCAGCAUAA
Molecule: long non-coding RNA, 509 nt
Organism: Drosophila kikkawai
Lineage: Eukaryota; Metazoa; Arthropoda; Insecta; Diptera; Drosophilidae
Source: RefSeq, a predicted model, not a curated record